Molecule: ribosomal RNA, 484 nt
Filed under: uncultured bacterium
Lineage: Bacteria
Description: partial 16S ribosomal RNA
Rfam family: Bacterial small subunit ribosomal RNA
Source: RNAcentral
AUUGAACGCUGGCGGCAGGCCUAACACAUGCCAGUCGAGCGGAUGAAGGGAGCUUGCUCCUGGAUUCAGCGGCGGACGGGUGAGUAAUGCCUAGGAAUCUGCCUGGUAGUGGGGGAUAACGUCCGGAAACGGGCGCUAAUACCGCAUACGUCCUGAGGGAGAAAGUGGGGGAUCUUCGGACCUCACGCUAUCAGAUGAGCCUAGGUCGGAUUAGCUAGUUGGUGGGGUAAAGGCCUACCAAGGCGACGAUCCGUAACUGGUCUGAGAGGAUGAUCAGUCACACUGGAACUGAGACACGGUCCAGACUCCUACGGGAGGCAGCAGAGGGGAAUAUUGGACAAUGGGCGAAAGCCUGAUCCAGCCAUGCCGCGUGUGUGAAGAAGGUCUUCGGAUUGUAAAGCACUUUAAGUUGGGAGGAAGGGCAGUAAGUUAAUACCUUGCUGUUUUGACGUUACCAACAGAAUAAGCACCGGCUAACUUCGUG